AAACUUUCCACGUGAACUGUAUUGUCUGUUGUUGGGGGCUUGGGCUGGCGUUUCGGCGCCGGCUCGGGCUCCAUCAAACGAGGCUCUGGGCUGCAAAGUCUGGGGUAGUAGUUACUUUUUUGUAA
This 125-nucleotide ribosomal RNA is filed under the name Phytophthora sp. KACC 40914. Its description in RNAcentral is "partial 18S ribosomal RNA". The record is from RNAcentral. Lineage: Eukaryota; Oomycota; Peronosporomycetes; Peronosporales; Peronosporaceae.